RNAcentral lists this non-coding RNA (220 nucleotides) under Desulforamulus aeronauticus. RNAcentral describes it as "Desulfotomaculum aeronauticum T-box sequence". It matches the Rfam family "T-box leader". From Rfam's summary of the family: Uncharged tRNA acts as the effector for transcription antitermination of genes in the T-box leader family. T-boxes are found upstream of many aminoacyl-tRNA synthetase genes and some amino acid biosynthetic genes usually in Gram-positive bacteria. The anticodon of a specific tRNA base pairs to a specifier sequence within the T-box motif, and the NCCA acceptor tail of the tRNA base pairs to a conserved bulge in the T-box antiterminator hairpin. Lineage: Bacteria; Bacillati; Bacillota; Clostridia; Eubacteriales; Peptococcaceae. The record is from RNAcentral.
AUAGAGGCUAUGAUGGAGCAAGUAAAAACCAAUUAACCUGACAGAGAGUGGGAUUCGUCGGCUGGGAGAUCCCUCGGGUAAUGGAUUUUGAAACCCACUCCGGAGCUGUUCGGGAUUUGAACCGAACCGGCAGCCCCCGAUACCGGGCAGCAAGUGAAUGCAUUUUUUGGGAAUGCAUUAAUAAAGGUGGUACCACGAAAGCUACCCUUUCGUCCUUUGG